GACGAACGCUGGCGGCGUGCUUAACACAUGCAAGUCGAGCGGUAAGGCCCUUUCGGGGGCACACGAGCGGCGAACGGGUGAGUAACACGUGGGUGACCUGCCCUCAGCUCUGGGAUAAGCCUGGGAAACCGGGUCUAAUACUGGAUAUGACUCCAUGACGCAUGUUGUGGGGUGGAAAGCCUUGUGCGGCUGAGGAUGGGCCCGCGGCCUAUCAGCUUGUUGGUGGGGUGAUGGCCUACCAAGGCGACGACGGGUAGCCGGCCUGAGAGGGCGACCGGGCCACACUGGGACUGAGACACGGCCCAGGACUCCUACGGGAGGCAGCAGUGGGGAAUCUUGCGCAAUGGGCGAAAGCCUGACGCAGCGACGCCGCGUGAGGGAUGACGGCCU
RNAcentral lists this ribosomal RNA (390 nucleotides) under uncultured bacterium. Its description in RNAcentral is "bacterial SSU rRNA". It matches the Rfam family "Bacterial small subunit ribosomal RNA", at positions 28 to 417 of the family's 1533-position model. The record is from RNAcentral.